CAUAAAGGCUCAAAAAUACACACGCUGUCAGCUUGGAGGUUUUUUUCCCAACUGUCAUUCAGCCAAAGGUGAUAGAGGGUGUGGUCUACCUAUCUCUCCCUGGCUCCUCCUGUCCAUAUGCUGAAGCAUCCUUGGACAAAGUACUGCAUCCAUCAAAAUGAAUCCUCCAAGACUUCUGGCUCCAGCUCUCCUCCCACCUCAAACACCUCCCCACUCCAGGCCUUGAAUUUCACAGAC
Molecule: long non-coding RNA, 237 nt
Organism: Oreochromis aureus
Lineage: Eukaryota; Metazoa; Chordata; Actinopteri; Cichliformes; Cichlidae
Exons: 3
Source: RefSeq, a predicted model, not a curated record